GAGUAUGGCCAUACCACCCUGAAUGCACCUGAUCUCGUCCAAUCUUCGAAGAUAAGCAGGGUCAGCCCUGAUUAGUACUUGGAUGGGAAACCACCUGGGAAUACCAGGUGCUGUAGGUU
Cercocebus atys (sooty mangabey) is the source of this 119-nucleotide ribosomal RNA. NCBI's taxonomy places the organism in Eukaryota, Metazoa, Chordata, Mammalia, Primates, Cercopithecidae. The record is from Ensembl.